This 192-nucleotide microRNA precursor is filed under the name Oryza brachyantha (malo sina). RNAcentral's name for it is "MIR812 microRNA precursor family". It matches the Rfam family "MIR812 microRNA precursor family". Lineage: Eukaryota; Viridiplantae; Streptophyta; Magnoliopsida; Poales; Poaceae. The record is from Rfam by way of RNAcentral.
AAUAAGAUCAUUUUUUAGAUUUUUGAUAUAAUGUUUUGACUCUUCGUCUUAUUUGAAAUUUUUUAUGAUUAAUAUUUGUUUUUUUACUAGAUGAUAAAACAUGAAUAGUACUUUAUGCGUGACUAUUUUUUUAGGUUUUUGCAUAAAUCUUUCAAAUAAGACGAAUGAUCAAACGUUAGGCACGGAAAAACA